CUAUGGACUCUGAAAAACAAUCUGAGGGGUUUGAAGGGGUGGGGGGUGGGAGAUUAGGUGAGCCUGGUUUUGGGUACUAAGGAGGGAAAGUAUUACAUGGAGCACUGGGUGUGGUGCAUAAACAAUGAAUCUUGGAAGACUGAAAA
Long non-coding RNA from Lutra lutra (Eurasian river otter), 146 nucleotides. RefSeq lists it as uncharacterized. The transcript has 2 exons. NCBI's taxonomy places the organism in Eukaryota, Metazoa, Chordata, Mammalia, Carnivora, Mustelidae. The record is from RefSeq and is a predicted model, not a curated record.